CACACUCUGUACUGGGAAGGGAAAAAUCUGAGCCAACUAUGUAAUCAUUCUCCACCUUAUCAUUGCCCCAACAUGACUAAUGAGCCAGGGACAGACUGCAGGGAGUGAGGAACAUGGAAGCAGCAGCAAAAACAAAAGGGUGCCAUGGAUAAGAGACUGAGAGGCACCUGCUGCAGGGGUAAACAGCCAUUUAGAAGAUGUGUGUACAAAAAGCAUCUCAGCGAGCUUUUUGCAAAUUAUAUGCAAUAAAUACUGAUGGAAUGAAGCCAUCUCUGUGGGGCCAGCAGCAGUCAGAGAGCAGCAUGGUGGAUAAAGCAAGUUCUUGCCAACUCCUUUAUCUUUCCAGUUCCAGGAUCUCUUAAGUCCCACGCAGAGAAGUCAGUCCAGUUUUUCUCUUGAAGAUCUGCAAAAAACCAAACAACAAAUCAUUAAAACUGAAAAGAUGAAAUGCUGAAUCAUGCCUUCCACUCUUUAGAACCCUGUGUUCCACUGAGCCUAAUUAUUUCACACUUGCUACCUAAAUCUUUGAGCAGACUCUCCCAAGAAUAUUCUCGAUGAGGGCUGGAAAAGAAAAAGUUCUGAUGAACAUCUAAUAGGGGGACAGUAGUUCUGGUCAAACUCCCUGGAAAUUAAUGUUGGCUUAGCUCAUAAGAAUGGGAUUUUAUUUGGCCCAAACAACCUCAAGCAAACUUGAAAUUACACUGAGGGCAGUACAGUCAAUGUGCAGCUGAAUGAGUGAAGAGAAACUGCCAGGAAACAUCAAACAUACUUUUAAGCAUUUAAACCAGUGUCUUUUGAGUAUCUGAAAUGAGGUGAAAAUACAUUAAAAUCCAACCAGAUCCCUCUCUUUCCCUUGUUGCAGCCAACCCUGAAUAGAGUCAGUGGGUGUAGAAAUAGGAAACUAUAUUUUGCUUUUGCUUAGGUAGUGGGGGUUUACUAUUUAAAAAAUAAAAAUUAAAAAAAAAAAAAAAAGCCUGACCUACAGCACAUUCUGGAAGGGCACAUAUCGAAUAUCCUCAGCUCUUAAUCUAAGAAGGAACUUCAGUGCUCUGGCAUUGUUCUCCCCUGUGCCAUUCUUAUCUGACACGUAGUAUCAGUUGCCAGAAAUGCUGUGGGUUUAUUCUGUACUUUGUAU
This 1135-nucleotide long non-coding RNA is filed under the name Taeniopygia guttata (zebra finch). RNAcentral's name for it is "lncRNA (ENSTGUG00000027476.1)". Lineage: Eukaryota; Metazoa; Chordata; Aves; Passeriformes; Estrildidae. The record is from RNAcentral.